Molecule: ribosomal RNA, 938 nt
Filed under: uncultured Glomus
Lineage: Eukaryota; Fungi; Glomeromycota; Glomeromycetes; Glomerales; Glomeraceae
Description: eukaryotic LSU rRNA
Rfam family: Eukaryotic small subunit ribosomal RNA (bases 1-243)
Source: RNAcentral
UUAUUGUUCUUCUCCGAGGAAUCCCUAGUAAGCACAAGUCAUCAGCUUGUGCUGAUUACGUCCCUGCCCUUUGUACCACCGCCCGGCCCUACUACCGAUUGGAUGGCUUAGUGAGGCCUUCGGAUCCCUGGGAAAAAACUGUAACAGGUUUUCUGCCGACGAGAAGUUGGUCACACUUGGUCAUUUAGAGGAAGUAGAAGUCGCAACAGGGUUUUCGUACGCGAACCUGCUGAAGGAUCAUUACUGAUCGUUGGCGAACCUCGCCACUUCUUCUUCGUAUUUAAAACAUCCGCUCUUUAUAAAAAAAAAAAUUAUUUUAAUGAUAAAAUUAAAAAAAAAGAUCACUUUCAACAACGGAUCUCUUGGCUCUCGCAUCGAUGAAGAACGUAGCGAAGUGCGAUCAGUAAUGUGAAUUGCACAAUUCCGUGAAUCAUCGAAUUUUUGAACGCGAUUGCACUCUCCGGUUUUCCGGGAGAGUAUGCCUGUAUGAGGGUCAGCCUCAAUAAGAUCGGCUUCGUUGCUGUGUCCUUCCCGGUAGCGUUUUGUCGAAAUUGGGUUAUCUUAAACUUUUCGGUUUAAGUGGCUUCAAGACUUUUUAUACGAUUUGACGAACGUUUCGGAAACUUUCCCUCGUUCACGCUCGAGGCAACGCAGAACCUUAUUAGACGCGAGCGUCCCAUCGGAUCUCGUGCAUAGUGUUUUCUUUUUACUGACCUCAGACAGGAAGAACUACCCGCUGAGCUUGGCCAUAUCAACAAGCUGAGGCAGAGUGAAAAUAACACUGCAGUUCCUUCCGUACGGCUGAGUCGAAUGGCGGGAAAGCUUCAAUUUGAAAUCGGUCCAGGUACUACCUGCCCUGAGUCUGCAAUUGGAGCAAGCGUUUUUCACAGUGCAUGUUGGACCAAGUCCUUGGGGAUGAGCUAUCAUGUACGUUGAGA